This 375-nucleotide long non-coding RNA is filed under the name Trifolium pratense (red clover). RNAcentral describes it as "long non-coding RNA (TPRA_LNC012173)". The record is from RNAcentral. Lineage: Eukaryota; Viridiplantae; Streptophyta; Magnoliopsida; Fabales; Fabaceae.
CAUACAUCAAAAAAUUAAUUAAAGUACUUGAAGUUCCCAACGAAAAAAAAAAUCAAUGUAGUUCAAACAUUGAAAAACUAAAACAUAAACAUUAGUAUUGUGGUUAAACAUACAAAACAUUAUGGCAAAAUAAGUUCUUAAAAUAUCUAAACAUUUCCUGGUUAUUGAUGUUGCUUCAUAAUCCUUAAUUAGUGCUACCAUCUUCUUGACUCUUCUUAUUCGGUUACCUGGAAAAACAUAACUAUUAGGAUACUUAAAAAUAAGGGCCACAAAAUUAAGCUCCGUAUGGAAUCACAUCUCCCACAGCACCUGGAGCCAUUGAUUGAAGAUAGUGAUGCUGUGGUAGCAAACAACUUUCGCGUUGCCUCACGGUGG